Molecule: ribosomal RNA, 323 nt
Filed under: uncultured eukaryote
Lineage: Eukaryota
Description: partial 18S ribosomal RNA
Rfam family: Eukaryotic small subunit ribosomal RNA
Source: RNAcentral
CCCUUAGAUGUUCUGGGCCGCACGCGUGCUACACUGAGUGGAUCAGCGGGUCAGGUUGCGCGAAAGUGUUUCCUAAUCUUGAAAUCCGCUCGUGAUGGGGAUUGACGGUUGCAAUUUUCCGUCAUGAACGAGGAAUACCUUGUAAGCGCGGGUCAUCAUCCCGCGCUGAAUACGUCCCUGCCCUUUGUACACACCGCCCGUCGCUACUACCGAUUGAAUGGCUUAGUGAGGCCUCCGGAUUGGCUUCGGGGAGCCGGCAACGGCACCUCGUGGCUGAGAAGUUGGUCAAACUUGGUCAUUUAGAGGAAGUAAAAGUCGUAACA